Molecule: non-coding RNA, 46 nt
Organism: Ailuropoda melanoleuca (giant panda)
Lineage: Eukaryota; Metazoa; Chordata; Mammalia; Carnivora; Ursidae
Source: Rfam
ACAAAGGCUCUUUUCAGAGCCACCUCCUUGGCCCUGAAAGACCUGU